GACGAACGCUGGCGGCGUGCUUAACACAUGCAAGUCGAACGGUGAAGCGCCUUCCUUUUUGGUGGGUGUGGAUGAGUGGCGAACGGGUGAGUAACACGUGAGUAACCUGCCCCCUUCUUCUGGAUAACCGCAUGAAAGUGUGGCUAAUACGGGAUAUUCUGGGUCUGUCGCAUGAUGGGUCUGGGAAAGAUAUUGUUUCGGUGGGGGAUGGGCUCGCGGCCUAUCAGCUUGUUGGUGGGGUGAUGGCCUACCAAGGCGGUGACGGGUAGCCGGCCUGAGAGGGUGGACGGUCUCACUGGGACUGAGACACGGCCCAGACUCCUACGGGAGGCAGCAGUGGGGAAUAUUGCACAAUGGGCGCAAGCCUGAUGCAGCGACGCCGCGUGAGGGAUGGAGGCCUUCGGGUUGUGAACCUCUUUCGCCAGUGAAGCAGGCCUGCCUCGUUUGUGGGUGGGUUGACGGUAGCUGGAUAAGAAGCGCCGGCUAACUACGU
RNAcentral lists this ribosomal RNA (493 nucleotides) under uncultured bacterium. RNAcentral describes it as "partial 16S ribosomal RNA". It matches the Rfam family "Bacterial small subunit ribosomal RNA", at positions 28 to 506 of the family's 1533-position model. The record is from RNAcentral.